This 496-nucleotide ribosomal RNA is filed under the name uncultured bacterium. RNAcentral's name for it is "partial 16S ribosomal RNA". It matches the Rfam family "Bacterial small subunit ribosomal RNA", at positions 29 to 507 of the family's 1533-position model. The record is from RNAcentral.
AUGAACGCUGGCGGCGUGCCUAAUACAUGCAAGUCGAGCGAACGGACGAGAAGCUUGCUUCUCUGAUGUUAGCGGCGGACGGGUGAGUAACACGUGGAUAACCUACCUAUAAGACUGGGAUAACUUCGGGAAACCGUAGCUAAUACCGGAUAAUAUUUUGAACCGCAUGGUUCAAAAGUGAAAGACGGUCUUGCUGUCACUUAUAGAUGGAUCCGCGCUGCAUUAGCUAGUUGGUAAGGUAACGGCUUACCAAGGCAACGAUGCAUAGCCGACCUGAGAGGGUGAUCGGCCACACUGGAACUGAGACACGGUCCAGACUCCUACGGGAGGCAGCAGUAGGGAAUCUUCCGCAAUGGGCGAAAGCCUGGCGGAGCAACGCCGCGUGAGUGAUGAAGGUCUUCGGAUCGUAAAACUCUGUUAUUAGGGAAGAACAUAUGUGUAAGUAACUGUGCACAUCUUGACGGUACCUAAUCAGAAAGCCACGGCUAACUACGUG